This 389-nucleotide ribosomal RNA is filed under the name uncultured bacterium. Its description in RNAcentral is "bacterial SSU rRNA". It matches the Rfam family "Bacterial small subunit ribosomal RNA", at positions 28 to 419 of the family's 1533-position model. The record is from RNAcentral.
GACGAACGCUGGCGGCGUGCUUAACACAUGCAAGUCGAGCGGUAAGGCCCUUUCGGGAGUACACGAGCGGCGAACGGGUGAGUAACACGUGGGUGACCUGCCCUCAGCUCUGGGAUAAGCCUGGGAAACCGGGUCUAAUACUGGAUAUGACUCCAUGACGCAUGUUGUGGGGUGGAAAGCCUUGUGCGGCUGAGGAUGGGCCCGCGGCCUAUCAGCUUGUUGGGGGGUGAUGGCCUACCAAGGCGACGACGGGUAGCCGGCCCGAGAGGGCGACCGGCCACACUGGGACUGAGACACGGCCCAGACUCCUACGGGAGGCAGCAGUGGGGAAUCUUGCGCAAUGGGCGAAAGCCUGACGCAGCGACGCCGCGUGAGGGAUGACGGCCUGG